This 367-nucleotide RNase P RNA is filed under the name Planctomycetota bacterium. Its description in RNAcentral is "Planctomycetes bacterium (wastewater metagenome) RNase P RNA component class A". It matches the Rfam family "Bacterial RNase P class A". From Rfam's summary of the family: Ribonuclease P (RNase P) is a ubiquitous endoribonuclease, found in archaea, bacteria and eukarya as well as chloroplasts and mitochondria. Its best characterised activity is the generation of mature 5'-ends of tRNAs by cleaving the 5'-leader elements of precursor-tRNAs. Cellular RNase Ps are ribonucleoproteins. The record is from RNAcentral. Lineage: Bacteria; Pseudomonadati; Planctomycetota.
CCUGGUCUCCGGACGGCCGCCGGCAGCUUCGGCUGCGGGAGGAAAGUCCGGGCUCCCUAGGGCAAGGUGGUGGGUAACGCCCACCGUCCGCAAGGAUAGGGAAAGUGCCACAGAGAACAAACCGCCGGACUGCCAGCUUGCUGGCGACGGUAAGGGUGAAACGGUGAGGUAAGAGCUCACCGCGGCCUGGGUGACCAGACCGGCACGGCAAACCCCACCUGGAGGAAGACCGAAUAGGAGGAUCGCGCUGCCCGCGCCGAGAUCCUCGGGUAGGUCGUUGGCGACCGUCCGCAAGGACGGUCCUAGAGAAAUGGCCGUCACCGCCCUUCGGGCGGCACCAGAACCCGGCUUACGGAGACCAGGCUCA